Molecule: ribosomal RNA, 479 nt
Filed under: Microbacterium sp.
Lineage: Bacteria; Bacillati; Actinomycetota; Actinomycetes; Micrococcales; Microbacteriaceae
Description: bacterial SSU rRNA
Rfam family: Bacterial small subunit ribosomal RNA
Source: RNAcentral
GCAGCAACGCCGCGUGAGGGAUGACGGCCUUCGGGUUGUAAACCUCUUUUAGCAGGGAAGAAGCGAAAGUGACGGUACCUGCAGAAAAAGCGCCGGCUAACUACGUGCCAGCAGCCGCGGUAAUACGUAGGGCGCAAGCGUUAUCCGGAAUUAUUGGGCGUAAAGAGCUCGUAGGCGGUUUGUCGCGUCUGCUGUGAAAUCCGGAGGCUCAACCUCCGGCCUGCAGUGGGUACGGGCAGACUAGAGUGCGGUAGGGGAGAUUGGAAUUCCUGGUGUAGCGGUGGAAUGCGCAGAUAUCAGGAGGAACACCGAUGGCGAAGGCAGAUCUCUGGGCCGUAACUGACGCUGAGGAGCGAAAGGGUGGGGAGCAAACAGGCUUAGAUACCCUGGUAGUCCACCCCGUAAACGUUGGGAACUAGUUGUGGGGUCCAUUCCACGGAUUCCGUGACGCAGCUAACGCAUUAAGUUCCCCGCCUGGG